GGGUUGUGAGGUUAAGCGACUAAGCGUACACGGUGGAUGCCCUGGCAGUCAGAGGCGAUGAAGGACGUGCUAAUCUGCGAUAAGCGCCGGUAAGGUGAUAUGAACCGUUAUAACCGGCGAUUUCCGAAUGGGGAAACCCAGUGUGAUUCGUCACACUAUCAUUAACUGAAUCCAUAGGUUAAUGAGGCGAACCGGGGGAACUGAAACAUCUAAGUACCCCGAGGAAAAGAAAUCAACCGAGAUUCCCCCAGUAGCGGCGAGCGAACGGGGAGGAGCCCAGAGCCUGAAUCAGCAUGUGUGUUAGUGGAAGCGUCUGGAAAGGCGCGCGAUACAGGGUGACAGCCCCGUACACAAAAGCGCAUGUGCUGUGAGCUCGAUGAGUAGGGCGGGACACGUGGUAUCCUGUCUGAAUAUGGGGGGACCAUCCUCCAAGGCUAAAUACUCCUGACUGACCGAUAGUGAACCAGUACCGUGAGGGAAAGGCGAAAAGAACCCCGGCGAGGGGAGUGAAAAAGAACCUGAAACCGUGUACGUACAAGCAGUGGGAGCACCCUUCGGGGUGUGACUGCGUACCUUUUGUAUAAUGGGUCAGCGACUUAUAUUCUGUAGCAAGGUUAACCGUAUAGGGGAGCCGGAGGGAAACCGAGUCUUAAUUGGGCGUUAAGUUGCAGGGUAUAGACCCGAAACCCGGUGAUCUAGCCAUGGGCAGGUUGAAGGUUGGGUAACACUAACUGGAGGACCGAACCGACUAAUGUUGAAAAAUUAGCGGAUGACCUGUGGCUGGGGGUGAAAGGCCAAUCAAACCGGGAGAUAGCUGGUUCUCCCCGAAAGCUAUUUAGGUAGCGCCUCGUGAAUUCAUCUCCGGGGGUAGAGCACUGUUUCGGCUAGGGGGCCAUCCCGGCUUACCAACCCGAUGCAAACUGCGAAUACCGGAGAAUGUUAUCACGGGAGACACACGGCGGGUGCUAACGUCCGUCGUGAAGAGGGAAACAACCCAGACCGCCAGCUAAGGUCCCAAAGUCAUGGUUAAGUGGGAAACGAUGUGGGAAGGCCCAGACAGCCAGGAUGUUGGCUUAGAAGCAGCCAUCAUUUAAAGAAAGCGUAAUAGCUCACUGGUCGAGUCGGCCUGCGCGGAAGAUGUAACGGGGCUAAACCAUGCACCGAAGCUGCGGCAGCGACACUGUGUGUUGUUGGGUAGGGGAGCGUUCUGUAAGCCUGUGAAGGUGUGUCGUGAGGCAUGCUGGAGGUAUCAGAAGUGCGAAUGCUGACAUAAGUAACGAUAAAGCGGGUGAAAAGCCCGCUCGCCGGAAGACCAAGGGUUCCUGUCCAACGUUAAUCGGGGCAGGGUGAGUCGACCCCUAAGGCGAGGCCGAAAGGCGUAGUCGAUGGGAAACGGGUUAAUAUUCCCGUACUUGGUGUUACUGCGAAGGGGGGACGGAGAAGGCUAUGUUGGCCGGGCGACGGUUGUCCCGGUUUAAGCGUGUAGGUGUGUGUUCCAGGUAAAUCCGGUUCACUUUAACACUGAGGCGUGACGACGAGGCACUACGGUGCUGAAGCAACAAAUGCCCUGCUUCCAGGAAAAGCCUCUAAGCAUCAGGUAACACGAAAUCGUACCCCAAACCGACACAGGUGGUCAGGUAGAGAAUACCAAGGCGCUUGAGAGAACUCGGGUGAAGGAACUAGGCAAAAUGGUGCCGUAACUUCGGGAGAAGGCACGCUGACACGUAGGUGAAGUGAUUUACUCAUGGAGCUGAAGUCAGUCGAAGAUACCAGCUGGCUGCAACUGUUUAUUAAAAACACAGCACUGUGCAAACACGAAAGUGGACGUAUACGGUGUGACGCCUGCCCGGUGCCGGAAGGUUAAUUGAUGGGGUCAGCGUAAGCGAAGCUCCUGAUCGAAGCCCCGGUAAACGGCGGCCGUAACUAUAACGGUCCUAAGGUAGCGAAAUUCCUUGUCGGGUAAGUUCCGACCUGCACGAAUGGCGUAAUGAUGGCCAGGCUGUCUCCACCCGAGACUCAGUGAAAUUGAACUCGCUGUGAAGAUGCAGUGUACCCGCGGCAAGACGGAAAGACCCCGUGAACCUUUACUAUAGCUUGACACUGAACAUUGAGCCUUGAUGUGUAGGAUAGGUGGGAGGCUUUGAAGUGUGGACGCCAGUCUGCAUGGAGCCGACCUUGAAAUACCACCCUUUAAUGUUUGAUGUUCUAACGUGGACCCGUAAUCCGGGUUGCGGACAGUGUCUGGUGGGUAGUUUGACUGGGGCGGUCUCCUCCUAAAGAGUAACGGAGGAGCACGAAGGUUGGCUAAUCCUGGUCGGACAUCAGGAGGUUAGUGCAAUGGCAUAAGCCAGCUUGACUGCGAGCGUGACGGCGCGAGCAGGUGCGAAAGCAGGUCAUAGUGAUCCGGUGGUUCUGAAUGGAAGGGCCAUCGCUCAACGGAUAAAAGGUACUCCGGGGAUAACAGGCUGAUACCGCCCAAGAGUUCAUAUCGACGGCGGUGUUUGGCACCUCGAUGUCGGCUCAUCACAUCCUGGGGCUGAAGUAGGUCCCAAGGGUAUGGCUGUUCGCCAUUUAAAGUGGUACGCGAGCUGGGUUUAGAACGUCGUGAGACAGUUCGGUCCCUAUCUGCCGUGGGCGCUGGAGAACUGAGGGGGGCUGCUCCUAGUACGAGAGGACCGGAGUGGACGCAUCACUGGUGUUCGGGUUGUCAUGCCAAUGGCACUGCCCGGUAGCUAAAUGCGGAAGAGAUAAGUGCUGAAAGCAUCUAAGCACGAAACUUGCCCCGAGAUGAGUUCUCCCUGAGACUUAGAGUCUCCUGAAGGAACGUUGAAGACGACGACGUUGAUAGGCCGGGUGUGUAAGCGCAGCGAUGCGUUGAGCUAACCGGUACUAAUGAACCGUGAGGCUUAACCUUACAACGCCGAAG
This 2926-nucleotide ribosomal RNA is filed under the name Salmonella enterica subsp. enterica serovar Typhimurium. Its description in RNAcentral is "23S ribosomal RNA". It matches the Rfam family "Bacterial large subunit ribosomal RNA". Lineage: Bacteria; Pseudomonadati; Pseudomonadota; Gammaproteobacteria; Enterobacterales; Enterobacteriaceae. The record is from RNAcentral.